RNAcentral lists this ribosomal RNA (497 nucleotides) under uncultured bacterium. RNAcentral's name for it is "partial 16S ribosomal RNA". It matches the Rfam family "Bacterial small subunit ribosomal RNA", at positions 28 to 507 of the family's 1533-position model. The record is from RNAcentral.
GAUGAACGCUGGCGGCGUGCCUAAUACAUGCAAGUCGAGCGAACAGACGAGGCGCUUGCUCCUUUGACGUUAGCGGCGGACGGGUGAGUAACACGUGGAUAACCUACCUAUAAGACUGGGAUAACUUCGGGAAACCGGAGCUAAUACCGGAUAACAUGUUGAACCGCAUGGUUCAACAGUGAAAGACGGUCUUGCUGUCACUUAUAGAUGGAUCCGCGCCGCAUUAGCUAGUUGGUAAGGUAACGGCUUACCAAGGCAACGAUGCGUAGCCGACGUGAGAGAGUGGUCGGCCACCCUGGAACGGAGACGCGGUCCAGACGCCUACGGGAGGCAGCAGUAGGGAAUCUGACGCAAUGGGCGAGAGCCUGACGGAGCAGCGGCGCGUGAGUGAAGAAGGUCUUCGGAGCGUAAAACUCUGUUAUUAGUGAAGAACAAAUGUGUAAGUAACUAUGCACGUCUUGACGGUACCUGAUCAGAAAGCCACGGCUAACUACGUG